GAUGAACGCUGGCGGCGUGCUUAACACAUGCAGGUCGAACGGGAAUUAUUUUAUUGAAACUUCGGUCGAUUUAAUUUAAUUCUAGUGGCGGACGGGUGAGUAACGCGUGGGUAACCUGCCUUAUACAGGGGGAUAACAGCCAGAAAUGGCUGCUAAUACCGCAUAAGCGCACAGAGCUGCAUGGCUCAGUGUGAAAAACUCCGGUGGUAUAAGAUGGACCCGCGUUGGAUUAGCUUGUUGGCAGGGUAACGGCCUACCAAGGCGACGAUCCAUAGCCGGCCUGAGAGGGUGAACGGCCACAUUGGGACUGAGACACGGCCCAGACUCCUACGGGAGGCAGCAGUGGGGAAUAUUGCACAAUGGGGGAAACCCUGAUGCAGCGACGCCGCGUGAAGGAAGAAGUAUCUCGGUAUGUAAACUUCUAUCAGCAGGGAAGAUAGUGACGGUACCUGACUAAGAAGCCCCGGCUAACUACGUG
RNAcentral lists this ribosomal RNA (478 nucleotides) under uncultured bacterium. RNAcentral describes it as "partial 16S ribosomal RNA". It matches the Rfam family "Bacterial small subunit ribosomal RNA", at positions 28 to 507 of the family's 1533-position model. The record is from RNAcentral.